This 433-nucleotide ribosomal RNA is filed under the name uncultured bacterium. Its description in RNAcentral is "partial 16S ribosomal RNA". It matches the Rfam family "Bacterial small subunit ribosomal RNA", at positions 29 to 507 of the family's 1533-position model. The record is from RNAcentral.
AACGAACGCUGGCGGCAUGCCUAACACAUGCAAGUCGAACGAGACCUUCGUGUCUAGUGGCUCACGGGUUCGUAACGCGUGGGAACCUGCCCUUAGGUUCGGCAUAACUCCCCGAAAGGGGUGCUAAUACCGGAUAAUGUCUUCGGACCAAAGAUUUAUCGCCUUUGGAUGGGGCCGCGUUGGAUUAGCUAGUUGGCAGGGUAAAAGCCUACCAAGGCGACGAUCCAUAGCUGGUCUGAGAGGAGGAUCAGCCACACUGGGACUGAGACACGGCCCAGACUCCUGGGGGAGGGAGGAGUGGGGGAUAAUGGGGCAUGGGCGGAAGGCUGAUACAGCAAGGGCGGGUGGAUGGUGAAGGGCUUAGGGUUGGAAAGCGCUUUUAACCGGGAUGAUUAUGACAGUACCGGGAGAAUAAGCUCCGGCUAACUACGUG